GCCCUGAUUGCUUAGUUGGUUAGAGUUUGGUGCGGAUAAUGCCAAGGUUGCAGGUUUGAUCCUUGUAUGGGACA
This is a non-coding RNA of Podarcis lilfordi (Lilford's wall lizard), 74 nucleotides long. The record is from the annotation of a GenBank genome assembly. NCBI's taxonomy places the organism in Eukaryota, Metazoa, Chordata, Lepidosauria, Squamata, Lacertidae.